Molecule: long non-coding RNA, 3743 nt
Organism: Phyllostomus hastatus (greater spear-nosed bat)
Lineage: Eukaryota; Metazoa; Chordata; Mammalia; Chiroptera; Phyllostomidae
Exons: 5
Source: RefSeq, a predicted model, not a curated record
GGGCCACCGAGGUCGAAACGCUGUUGAAGUGCGAAGGGAGCCUGAGACUCCGACACAGACGCCGCAGGAGCGGGGCCCGCCAGAUCCUGAGCGGCUUCCGGCCCAAGGGGAGACGUACUUGAGUAAUCGCGAGGAGCAAACUUGGAGCUCUCCACCUCGGGCCUCGGAGAGGCUCUACAGACGGACAGCAGGACUCCCACGGAGACCUCCCCCAGCGAGCCUGUCUGCAGCCCUGGGCCAUUACUGCCUUCAUCUCUCAGAAUCCUGAGCACACAGAAUGGCAAAUGUCAAUAAGUAGCUUCCUUCGUUGCCAGAGCUCUCCUGGUUCCCCAUGCUCCAGCCCCCUGGCCAGCUUCAGGGAAGACUGGCUGAGGCAUUUGCUCCAGAUAUCCUGCUUCUAAUGCUACAGGCAGAGCUCCACAGAGCAGCUGCAGUUGCAGGCCCCUGCCUCUGCCUGGCCCUGCUUCUCACCGACUGCUGCUGAGACUCAGGUUGGGGAACUGGGACACAGGACCCCAGCCCCAGUUCUGCGAAGUCGGUGCUCUUCGAGCCCCGGAAAAACGAGAGCUAGCAGAAGAUGAUGGGAAUAUAAUGAAGUCAAUAGAGGAGCUGGCGAAGACGGCGCUGAGCUAACUGGAGGUGGGUGGCUGCACAGACCGAUUGCCCGCGGCCUUCCCAAGGUUCCGGGAGCGCAGAGGUCUACGCCUCGGAGUGGCCAGGUCGCAAAGUGCGGACUGCGCUGGGCAAAGAGUGGUCAGCACCCUCUGCCCAGCUGGGAGGCUGGAGACUCCAGAUCUGUGACCUGCAGGGUGAACCUUAGGCGGCGGGGUUCCUUACACUCAAGGAGCGGGACUCCGGAUCGGAGUUGAGGGAUAGGCCAGGCCCUCUGCAAGCACAGCACGAACAGGGCCUCCAGCGUACGUUCCUUCACUGCGGAAGCCCGCUUGCCACCCCCAGUGCCGGCUCGGGUCGGGCACACCCCGCACAUGUUGACCCUCCACUUCUAGGAGGAAAUGUCCAUAUUUCCUUCCAUUAUGCCUGGCCACAGUCCCCUCCCAGCCUUACCUAUCCCGGGGCUACGUGGUGGUGGGGCUCGCUCGGGCACCCUGUGGCCCUAGGACUGCUCAGCGGUUGAGACCAGAGUGAGCUGCGGGGCCUGUCGACUGUUUUUCGUAGGAAGAGGGUUGCAAGCCCAGGAGAAGGUGAAAAUAACGCUGCUCCCAAAACGCCCGACCUGGGGGCUGGUUUCGUAGCGACCGUGGUAAGGCAGGCUCCACACGUGUGGGAGACCUACAGGGGCGUAGCGGACACUUCUAGGUAUGUCGGAGCGCGAACGUCAGGUCUAAUGCCCCUGAUAUCUAAGUGCGCCCAGGGUUCCUGAGUCGGAGGAUCUGUUUCUCUGUCCGUGUGUGUGGUCAGUGUGCCCCUCCGUGCAACAGUGGCUCUGGCAGCCCGAGUACUUUCCUGAGCAGCUGUACCGACCGUGUGUCCCGAGUCCUCCCUUCCCGAAAGCACAAUCUGUGCGGGUGACUGCCUUUAUCCCUGGAUGGCUUGCCUUUAACCCAGGUCCUGAAGCGGCGUCAUCUGGUCAGGGGACUGCAAACCUGCUCCAUGCCCACAGCGAGACCUGGGCAGGGAGGGAGGACGUGUACGGUGCGAGCCUGGAUAGGGUCUGGGACAAUGGCAAAGGUAAGGGAAAGAGCAUACAGGGACCACGCUGCGAAGAGCCAGGGGGGUUGUAGCGACAGCCUCCUUCUAACCAAUUGCACGUUGCCUGCUGGAGUAGCAAGGCCCAGGAGCCCCACGCCCUUCCGGAGCCCAGAGUUGGUGUAGGGCUGGAGGCAGAAGGGUACAGAGCCGUCUGAACUCGGCCCCUUAUGCAACACCAGCGUGCCUGUGUUUAGCCUUCCCGAUUCCUAAGCAGAGAGGUGGAACUCGUAGGCUUCGCCGGCCGGGUGCCCGAGGUCUCGAGUGGAUGCCAAAUCGAGUCAGUCCCACGGAAGCAGAGCGAGAGACCUGCACGAGUCCUGGCCUUGCCUCGCAGACGCUAGUUACGGAUUCCUGGGGGACAGCGCCCUCUAGAGGAGCCGCGCAUCCACGCAGUCAAGAACUGGACGACGACGAGGUCUGGGCCUGGAGUUCCCCUUUCCCACGUCCCACGCCACACCUUUGACAAAAUCAUCCCAAGACCCACAGCCUCUAGACUCCUCUUUGUAAAUGCUUGCUUCCUUUCCCAACUUAUACUUAGGCUUCAAAACCCUCCUUAAAUGCCGCUUCCUCCAGGAGGAAGCCUUCUCCAGAGCCCAGCUCAUCUCCUCUUCCUGUUCUGAGAUCCCAGAACCAAAACCUGAACCCUCGACUUCAGUGCUCGCACCUGGCACUGCGCAGCUGACCUGCUUCCAGCCUGGCCUUUCUCCAAAGAUUGUUAAUCCAUCCCCUCCAUUCCCCCUUUGCAUUGCAUGCUGGGUGUACUGUUUUUCUACCCUUCCCUACCCGCCCGCCCUUACCUCCAGUAAAGUAGGAGUGAAGUCAUUUAUCCCAAAAUUGGACUGUAGGUUUCCAAAGUUUAUUUCCCAUAUGGGGAAAUUGAGAUCCAGAGAGUGGGCUGACUUUCCCAAGGUCAUACAGUACAUCAGUAGCAGAGGUGGAACUAGAUCCCUAGUCACCUUUCUCCCAGACCAAACCCCUCUCUCCGUCACCCGUAGGGGGAGCAGGUGAUGUGGGGGAGGGCUCAUUUUAAGGGGUGAGGACUGGUUGGAGGGGUUUUGACAUAGGAGAGGGGAAAUGCAGGAGGGUACUGGGUAGUGGGUCACUGCUCCAGGAUGGAAUAGUAAGAAAGGAAGGGAGGACAAAGCUUCAUUGAAAGGUCAGACUAUUUCUUCCCUCAACCCCAGCUCCAGAUCAAGCUACUUGAAGGGCUCCAGAUUUCAGGGGUCUUACAUCAACAGCUAGGUCAGCUGGAGGCUGGGAACAGACUCAACUCAGGCAAAUGCCAUCCUCCUCUCUGCCCUGGGAAGGGAAGGAGGGGCUGAGAAACUUCUAUUGCUAAUACACACCCAGAGGGUGCUGCUGAGAUGUUAGAUCAGCAGUAGGAGUCCUGGUGCUUGAAAUUAUAAAAAGGGAGAAACGGGGAGGGCGAUUUGCAUGUGAUUUGAAUAAGACCCCAGCAAUUCCUGCCCUGCAGUUUGAGGCCUUCUCAGAGAUGCUGCUGGUCCUCAUCUGCAUGUCAAGCCUCACCUCUAUCCCCUGAACUCCAUUCAUACCUGAUCUGCUCUUUCUCUCCUCUUCAUCUUUGCACUUGUCCUCAUUCCUGCCUGGCUCACUCCUAAUCCUUUGUCCAUUUCAAAAGUCAAGCUUUAUGAGCUGCUUCCCCUAACAACACCCCACACUGGCCAGGCUGUGAGGGACUCCUGCCCCUGUGCUCCCAAAGACGUAACUCGGUUGUCAUGAUUGGUUUUCCAAUCCGUUGCCUUCUGUUCACUGUAAGCUCCUUGAAAACAGGCAUUAUAUUGUUUGUAUCCUCAUCUUUCUCCACAAAAUGGGGAUAAGAAUUGUACCCACCACACUGAGUUAUUGUGAGGAUUAAAUGAGAUAAUGCAUAUAAAGCACUUAGCCCAGUGCCUGAUACUUUGAAAGAGCUCAAUACCUGGCUGGCGUAGCUCAGUGGAUUGAGCACGGGCUGCGAACCAAAGUGUCACAGGUUUGAUUCCCAGUCAGAGUACAUGCCUGGGUUGCAGGCCAUG